GACGAACGCUGGCGGCGUGCCUAACACAUGCAAGUCGAGCGAAUGAAGUUCCUUCGGGAAUGGAUUUAGCGGCGGACGGGUGAGUAACACGUGGGCAACCUGCCUCAUAGAGGGGAAUAGCCUUCCGAAAGGGAGAUUAAUACCGCAUAAGAUUGUAGUAUCGCAUGAUACAGCAAUUAAAAGAGCAAUCCGCUAUGAGAUGGGCCCGCGGCGCAUUAGCUAGUUGGUGAGGUAACGGCUCACCAAGGCGACGAUGCGUAGCCGACCUGAGAGGGUGAUCGGCCACAUUGGGACUGAGACACGGCCCAGACUCCUACGGGAGGCAGCAGUGGGGAAUAUUGCACAAUGGGGGAAACCCUGAUGCAGCAACGCCGCGUGAGUGAUGACGGCCUUCGGGUUGUAAAGCUCUGUCUUCAGGGACGAUAAUGACGGUACCUGAGGAGGAAGCCACGGCUAACUACGUG
RNAcentral lists this ribosomal RNA (464 nucleotides) under uncultured bacterium. Its description in RNAcentral is "partial 16S ribosomal RNA". It matches the Rfam family "Bacterial small subunit ribosomal RNA", at positions 28 to 507 of the family's 1533-position model. The record is from RNAcentral.